GAUGAACGCUGGCGGCGUGCCUAAUACAUGCAAGUAGAACGCUGAAGCUUGGUGCUUGCACCGAGCGGAUGAGUUGCGAACGGGUGAGUAACGCGUAGGUAACCUGCCUCUUAGCGGGGGAUAACUAUUGGAAACGAUAGCUAAUACCGCAUAAAAGUCGAUAUCGCAUGAUAUUGAUUUGAAAGGUGCAAAUGCAUCACUAAGAGAUGGACCUGCGUUGUAUUAGCUAGUUGGUGAGGUAACGGCUCACCAAGGCGACGAUACAUAGCCGACCUGAGAGGGUGAUCGGCCACACUGGGACUGAGACACGGCCCAGACUCCUACGGGAGGCAGCAGUAGGGAAUCUUCGGCAAUGGGGGCAACCCUGACCGAGCAACGCCGCGUGAGUGAAGAAGGUUUUCGGAUCGUAAAGCUCUGUUGUAAGAGAAGAACGAGUGUGAGAGUGGAAAGUUCACGCUGUGACGGUAUCUUACCAGAAAG
RNAcentral lists this ribosomal RNA (480 nucleotides) under Streptococcus parasanguinis. RNAcentral describes it as "bacterial SSU rRNA". It matches the Rfam family "Bacterial small subunit ribosomal RNA", at positions 28 to 490 of the family's 1533-position model. Lineage: Bacteria; Bacillati; Bacillota; Bacilli; Lactobacillales; Streptococcaceae. The record is from RNAcentral.